Molecule: ribosomal RNA, 484 nt
Filed under: uncultured Verrucomicrobiota bacterium
Lineage: Bacteria; Pseudomonadati; Verrucomicrobiota
Description: bacterial SSU rRNA
Rfam family: Bacterial small subunit ribosomal RNA
Source: RNAcentral
UCGAGAAUUUUUCACAAUGGGGGCAACCCUGAUGGAGCGACGCCGCGUGGAGGAUGAAGGCCUUCGGGUUGUAAACUCCUGUCAUGCGGGAACAAGCAAGUGAUAGUACCGCAAGAGGAAGAGACGGCUAACUCUGUGCCAGCAGCCGCGGUAAUACAGAGGUCUCAAGCGUUGUUCGGAUUCAUUGGGCGUAAAGGGUGCGUAGGUGGUGACGCAAGUCUGGUGUGAAAUCUCGGAGCUCAACUCCGAAAUUGCACCGGAUACUGCGUGACUCGAGGACUGUAGAGGAGAUCGGAAUUCACGGUGUAGCAGUGAAAUGCGUAGAUAUCGUGAGGAAGACCAGUUGCGAAGGCGGAUCUCUGGGCAGUUCCUGACACUGAGGCACGAAGGCCAGGGGAGCAAACGGGAUUAGAUACCCCGGUAGUCCUGGCAGUAAACGGUGCACGUUUGGUGUGGGCGGGUUCAGACCCCGUCCGUGCCGGAG